CCUACGGGAGGCAGCAGUAGGGAAUAUUGGUCAAUGGAUGGAAGUCUGAACCAGCCAUGCCGCGUGCAGGAAGAAGGCCUUCUGGGUUGUAAACUGCUUUUGCCAGGGGCUAAAAAGCCCAUGCGUGGGAAAUUGAAAGUACCUGGUGAAUAAGCCACGGCUAACUACGUGCCAGCAGCCGCGGUAAUACGUAGGUGGCAAGCGUUGUCCGGAUUUAUUGGGUUUAAAGGGUGCGUAGGCGGCUUUGUAAGUCAGUGGUGAAAUAUGGCAGCUCAACUGUCAAGGUGCCAUCGAUACUGCAGAGCUUGAGUACAGAUGAGGUAGGCGGAAUUGACGGUGUAGCGGUGAAAUGCUUAGAUAUCGUCAAGAACACCUAUAGCGAAGGCAGCUUACUAGGCUGUAACUGACGCUGAGGCACGAAAGUGUGGGGAUCAAACAGGAUUAGAUACCCUGGUAGUCCACACUGUAAACGUUGAUUACUCGCUGUGUGCGAUAUACAGUACGCGGCCAAGCGAAAGCGCUAAGUAAUCCACCUGGGGAGUACGCCGGCAACGGUGAAACUCAAAGGAAUUGACGG
Molecule: ribosomal RNA, 577 nt
Filed under: uncultured bacterium
Lineage: Bacteria
Description: bacterial SSU rRNA
Rfam family: Bacterial small subunit ribosomal RNA
Source: RNAcentral